UGGGGAAUAUUGCACAAUGGAGGGAACUCUGAUGCAGCGACGCCGCGUGAACGAAGAAGGCUUUCGAGUCGUAAAGUUCUUUUAUAUGGGAAGAUAAUGACGGUACCAUAAGAAAAAGCCCCGGCUAACUACGUGCCAGCAGCCGCGGUAAUACGUAGGGGGCUAGCGUUGUCCGGAAUCACUGGGCGUAAAGGGUUCGCAGGCGGAAAUGCAAGUCAGGUGUAAAAGGCAGUAGCUUAACUACUGUAAGCAUUUGAAACGGCAUAUCUUGAGAAGAGUAGAGGUAAGUGGAAUUUUUAGUGUAGCGGUGAAAUGCGUAGAUAUUAAAAAGAAUACCGGGGGCGAAGGCGACUUACUGGGCUCAUUCUGACGCUGAGGAACGAAAGCGUGGGUAGCAAACAGG
RNAcentral lists this ribosomal RNA (403 nucleotides) under Fusobacteriota bacterium. RNAcentral describes it as "Fusobacteria bacterium partial 16S ribosomal RNA". It matches the Rfam family "Bacterial small subunit ribosomal RNA", at positions 355 to 776 of the family's 1533-position model. Lineage: Bacteria; Fusobacteriati; Fusobacteriota. The record is from RNAcentral.